Molecule: small RNA, 741 nt
Filed under: Histoplasma ohiense
Lineage: Eukaryota; Fungi; Ascomycota; Eurotiomycetes; Onygenales; Ajellomycetaceae
Description: hypothetical lncRNA
Source: RNAcentral
UGAACCCUGGCUCGUGAUUGCGAAUGUCGAUAUUAUGUGACAUACGAGCGUACCGUUGAAUCGGGUGGAUCAAACAUUCUCAGUUUGAUUCGGAGUGUUAUUGCUGCAAAAUCUUCCGUGUGGCUAGAAUACGCACAACAUCAGCCAACUUUCCUAUCUCUAACAAGUUUUAUUUUUUUUAUUUUUAUUUAUUUCAUAUUUCUCAGGCCCUACAUUUCACUAACCAACCAUGUUGUAGGUCCUUGGCCAAAAUCUGACCCAACACCUAGAAUGUUUGAACCCAAUCCCAUGGAUUGUACGGAGUAGGGAAGUCUAUAACGGCGAAGCGUUUGGUUUGUGCAUCUCCAGAGCUCUUAAGCAGGCCUGAACGUUAUUAUCCUUCCUAAAACAAAGGAAACCUUCAUUAGAAAUAUAUUCCAUGUCAAACAUUCAAUAAUUUGUAGGUUUGUGACUCACCACCUCGCGAUAUCCUCAGGGUCAGAUAUGUAGUCUGAGAAUUGGAAGAUCAAGUGGUGGAAAGCUUGCUGCGUGGAGGCCGCUGGUAGGGAUACUUUCGUAGGGAAGAAACUGAGUUCAGAAAUAAUAUUAUCCAGCCCUUUUAAUCAACACUGGCAAGUGCUAUAAUGAAGAAACUCGGGGAUUGUCAUAGUCUGUAGUAAUUACAUACAGGAAAUAUGGUGAAAUGUGAAUGAUAUGAUAAAUUAACUAUGGUCUACGGAAAUACAGCGUCAUAUAUGUCAG